CUCCACAAUACUCCUUUGAGGUCUCCCACUCUGCACCAACAUGGGCAGGAGGGCACAGCAGCAUUCUGGCCCUUUUUAUGUGCUCUUUCUUUGCGGAGAGCUGGCGGUGUUGGAAGAAAUGAACAAUGAUGCUUCCUCAUCCAAAGGGGAAAAUCAACAUGCUGUGACAAAGAGACUCCGUGUGAAUUUAGUGCCUUAGCAAAGGUAAGUCUGAGGGGAGCAUUCCAGAUGGGCAGAGUAGUUGUGCUGCAUGGAGUCUUUGAAGGACCCAGGUUCCUCCCAAUUCAUGGCUCCAUCAUCUUCCCUGUGAUAGAGCUGGCUGACAGCCUUGAGAAGAUUCUGCCCGGGGAACGGAAGAAAGCAGAGGUUGCUUGUGAUAACUUUGUGAUACUUUUGCUCCCCUUUCAUUGGAGAGAACUCAGUCAUGCCACCUUUGUCACAUGGCUAUACCUACCUGCUAGAAAGGCUGGGCAAUGCUCACCAGCUAUGGUAUUGGGAGAAAAGGAGAGCAGAUUCUGAUGGGUGGGUAGUCAGUCUGCAGUCCCCGCUAUAUAUGUAAAAAAG
This is a long non-coding RNA of Heterocephalus glaber (naked mole-rat), 564 nucleotides long. The record is from Ensembl. Lineage: Eukaryota; Metazoa; Chordata; Mammalia; Rodentia; Bathyergidae.